Molecule: long non-coding RNA, 42616 nt
Filed under: Citrus maxima (pomelo)
Lineage: Eukaryota; Viridiplantae; Streptophyta; Magnoliopsida; Sapindales; Rutaceae
Description: long non-coding RNA (CMAX_LNC002384)
Source: RNAcentral
AAGAUGAUGGAGGAGGCGUUCAACAGUAAGAGAAAUGAUAACGAUGACACUGCAAACUACGGCAACCACCCACGUCGGCGUCUGCUCUAAAGUCGUUCCACCUUCCGCCAUUUCUCCGGCGAAGGUCAAGAUUAGUAGAUUAGUUCCUCUUGGAACAAGUAAUUAAGAAAGCAAGAAUAUGUGUGUGUGUGUGUGUGUGUGUGUGUGUGUGUGUGUGUGUAUAGAGGAGAUAUGAAAGAGAGUGUAUAAUUGAUGGAAUUUUGAAGCUGGUGUGGUUGUUGGUUAUAGAAGGGGCUGAUCAAAUAGUUGUAAUGUAUAAGAUUUCCACAGGGGCCGCUCCGAAAGUCUUGACUAAUGAAUUUGUUGUAAUUUUUUACAUAUUUUUAGAAACGCGGUCACACGACGGAGCUAUCAUAGACUUGAAUGAUUAAUACGUGUAACUAGGCCCCGUUUUGUAGAAAUUGAGCUUGGGCUACAGUAUUAGAGUGUAGGGGUGCUUACAAUCUAAUCGAUUCAAUUUGUUUGAUCAGUAAAAGUUUGAUAUGUAAAAAUUUAAUCUAUGAAUCGGUAGAUUAGAUGAAAAUUUUGAAAAUUUACAGUCAGUGGAUUGGGAUAUGAAUUUACUUCUUUAAAUAUACAAAAAUCCACAAAUGAAAAUAAUAAAACCUGUAAAUAUGGCAUUACUAGGAAAUACUAUAAAAAGCAUAAAGAUUAUCUUUCUACUCUUGCAAGAAUGGAAUAAUUAUUUUGACAAAUCAUCCAAACUCUUAAGUUUCAACAUUUGUAUAAAUUUAAAUUCAUAAUUUUAGUUAGGUUUCAGGUAGUGAUAUAAACAAAUGAGACUUUUUCUUUGUGGUAUGUUUAUAUUUUGAAAUUUUGAAUGUAUUAUUCUAACUUUUUUAAACAAUUAAUUUAAUUAAAUCUUAAUCAAUUUUUAAUUUAAGCAAUAGUUAAAUUAAUUUUUUAUUAGAUUUUUUUAUUUAAUUAGUUCAUAGAUUGGAUAGAAUUAAAAGUUAUUUAUCCAUAAACCAAUCUACAAAAUGAUAAAUUAGAUAUGGAUUGGCUCAAAUCCGCAUCUGAUAUGCAGACAAAUGGAUUGGAUUACAAAGUUAUAAACCAUAAAAUCGUGAAUCGGAUAUGAAUUCAUAUUCAAUCUGUAAAAUAUGAUCUCAAUUCGCAAAAUCCAAUUUGUGAACACCCUUAUUAAAUUAUAUAGUAAACAUUGUAGUUUAAAAGUUAAGUUGGUUUAAUCUAGCACUUGUAUUAUGGAAAAUGUAUGAUAUUUUUAUUAUUAUUGUCAAAAUUAUUAUUUAAAAAUCAUAAUGACUACUAUUAAUUUGUAUUUAAUAGUUACAAUUAAAAAAAAAACAAUCGCAGCUUAGCACCAAACAUAGCCUAAGGAACUUUUUCCUUUUUUUUCUUUUUUCUAAAAAAAAGGAGGUUCAAAAAAUGGGAUUUCAACGAGCUAUGCCCUACACUCUGAAUAUGUAUAUAUAUAUAUAUUCAAAAUGCUUUUUAUUAAGUGUGAUGAUACAACCACAAAUUCUUAUAAUAAUUUAUCUUGUAUAAAUUGAUGUGACAUUAAUUUAUUAGUUGAAUAAAAAUAUAAAAUAAUAUAAAUAAAUCACGUGGGCUAAAUAAUAUUUAAUUCAACCAAUUUAAUCAUACCACAUCAUUUUUUAUAAAAUAAAUUUGUAUAAAAAUUUGUGACUAUAUCAUUACUCUUUGAUUAAAUAGUAUGUGUAGUAUGUUUUUUAUUAAUAAUAGCGCCAAGGUUAUUAAAAUUUUUCACAUAACGCAGCGUGUGGAACAAAUGAACCGCGUUCCAUACAAUGCUUUGGAAACUUCUCAUUUCCGGUCUUACACACGUUGGGAGUCAGUUGAUUACUCCGCCAUAAUUAAUUCUACUAAUUUAAUUAUUGUAUUAAUUUUUAUUACAAAUAUUAUAGUAAUUCACAAUAAAACAGUAUACAUCAUUAUACAUGGCUAAUUUGCUUCACUUUUCGCACACACAGUUUAUACAUAAUCUUCGAAACGCGUAAAUGGUGAAGUGAGCAGCGAUGAAAAUUCCUCAUUAAAUUAGCUUAACUAACUUACCUAAUUUACAAUUUUACCAUAUAUACACACACUCACAUCCAAGGAAGCAAAAACGAAUCCUCUCCAUUUUUACAAUAAUUAGGCUCCGGCUAAUAAAUGUCUUUUUCACUACAACUCUUAAGUUGCAAGUAAUCACAUUUGGAAAAAAAAAAUCCAAGCCAGCCGCUAUAGUGACAGAGAAUCAACAACAGCAACGACAACUAACAAAAAAACAAACAUGUUAUGAAUAGUAAUAUAAACAGAGUCUGAUGAGAGAAAAACUUCGUCAAAGGCCGUGUUGAAAAACAUUGCAUGAAUGAUGACUUCUCUAGUUACAUAUUAAUGCAUAUACAGAUCAUAUUGACUAUAUAUGUUUAAUUAACUGGUACACAAAACGUAGUCGUGGGGUAAUAUUUAAUAUAAAGAGUAGUGAGAUGGACUCUCCUCAAUUUAUCUCAUCGCCCAUCAUUUUUUUGAUAAAUCUCAUUUAUUUCAAACAUUAUUUUUAUUUUUAACAAUUCUUAUUCAAAUUCUUCGAGUAUCCUUUUCGAAUCAAAAUUUUCAACAUAAAUUGAAGUAAUUCUACAAUUAGAGGGGUGAAAUAGAAUUUUGUGAAUAGUAGUCCUUAUUCAACAUAUGGGUCAAAUAACCCUUAUGUUGUCGGAACAACAGUAAGAUGCAAUUUGGGUUGCUGUUAUCAUUAUAUAAACUGUAUUGAUUAUGAAAUUCCAUAAUUAACUAGUUGAUCAAAUUUUAUCAUAUAAUACUCAAAUUAUGACUACACUACUUCUGAAUAACAUUUAAUUCAUUAACACACAGCCGGACUUGGGGGCAUCGAAAGUUUCACUAUCUCCAUUUCUAUUAAAAAAAUUCCCGAAGGAUAGGUCAAUUCCCAAAUAUAUAUUAUACAUGCAUCUAUGCAUGCCUGAGUCAAAAUAUUUUUGAUUGGAGAAAUGAGACUUGAGAGUUGAGAUGUCACCUUUAAAUUGAAUAAUUCGACGUUAUUUUAUAGAAUUUCAGAUCUUUCUACUCUUAAUUAAUUUAUUAAUUAAUUAAAUCUCUCAUGGGAAACUGAUGGGUUUAUUUUUAAUUCCUUUUGAGAGAUAUCUUAGGUAGCCUUUACCCAAGAAAAUUUUGUACCAGUUGGCACUCAUGAAUAAACAUUGUUAAAGUUCGAAGAAAAGGUCCCCAACAUAAUAACUUACACGUCUGCUAUCAUAAAAAUUAUCUUGACAUAUCAAUCCUCAUAAAUAUAAGGUAAAAACAAUAAAUUUAAGUAUUUCAAUCAAUACAAAUUUAACAUCAUGCGAUAUACUUAAAAAAAAAAAAAAAAUUCGUGUGAUAUUGGCAUUUGCAGGGCUUGACACAUGAUUAGCUAAUUAUCUUAUAGUGGGCUUGGAGUUAUGGGCUAAUCACACUAUGGGCCUCAAAUAAUGGCAACACUUGCAACUUAGCCUUGUAGUGCAAUGCAUUGGGGCAAAAGGUAUGCGAGUCCAAAAUCUAUUGGGUAUAGAGUUAUAAAAUUCUCCAAUUGAAUAAAUUUUGUAGCAGUCAGCACUCUUUUUGCUGAAUGUUUAUUGUAAGCAAUCAUGUAUGGCAAUAUUGUACCACUUUAUGCAAUUGUCACACAAUACAAGCGAGUGACAAUAUAAAUCUACCUUCACUUUGUGCAAUAUUAUGUCAUAUGUUUCAGGGUAAUAAACACAAGGAUUCAGUCGUUCAUUUCAAGCAAUCAAUCUUUGAUGAGCAUAUACAAGAAGGGCUUGUUAGUUGGGCUGAGCAAUGGAUCAAGGGGGCCAUAAUGGGCCUGUAACUUCUCGGUACUCUCAUGGGCUACUCAAAUAAUGGGUGCCUUACAGUUGAUCCCCCUACCCAGUAAGCUUAAAACUCUUCUCAAAAUCUUUAAUUUUAGAGAAAUAUAUUACACAGCAUAUGGCAAUUAUUAGUUAAGAGAUGAAAGUGUCAUUCACCCUAAUUUGAAUCCGUUAUACUUUCAGGCUUAUGAAAAUAAAAUAAAACUAUUUUAGAUGUGCAAUUAUCAGAAUAUUAUAUAGGAUCUUAUUGACCAACUUAUCUAAUAACUGCAGAGGACUUAACUAAAUACUAUCAAAAUUCACAACAAAAGAGUAACACCUCGCUUUAUCAGGAUCAGAACAACAAAACUGACCAUAUGUGUAGACUGCAAAACGGCAACUCUGGUGAAGUGAUGAUUUUGCCCAGCAUUUGAUUAGACGAUUCUUUAUGAAAGCACAUAUAUGAUCAACAAUAUGCACAGGUGAAAAGUUAAAAUCCAUACUUAUAACGUAACAAUAGAAAUAGAAGACAGAAAAUUGAAUUGCAUAACUCUCUCUAAAUCCCGAAUCCAACCAAAAGCAUGUCCUCAAGCCAAGGUAAGAGCAAAAUUAAAAAAGAAAGAACAAAAAUUUCAUAAUAUUGAGAGCUAGUCGUCAGUUUUCUUCAAAUAUUGUGCCUCUCUCGCUGACAUAGAUCCCGUCAAGGAAUUUCCUAAUGUCCUUGUUCUUCACAUGGCAUUUCUGUCAAAAUAAAAGAUCUAGCGGUCAGAACAGGAAGAUUUCUAACACACACACACACACACACACAGAGGCCAACCUGGUUGAUCAGAGCAGCAGACCGAGACACAAGCUCAAUGUCAUUCCCAUCAAGAAUGAGUUCAUCCUUAACCUUCUCAGACCGAACAACAGUAACACCAUCAAGCAUAUCCACUUUGCGAACCUGAUCUCGUUUUUCACCAAGCAAUAAUAACAAGGCAAAGCUCAACAUCAAUCAACUACACAUCUAAGAAGCAAGUUAAGUUUUCUUCUUUACAACUAACAAACACGCAGACCGUAACAUUAUAUUUACAUAUGGGUUAGGACAUUUUAGCUUUAUUUUUUCCCCUAAAAAUUAGAAUAUUUCAGCUUAAAAUUUUUUACUAAAAAUUUUAACACAAAUCUUGAGCCAUUGAUUUCAAAAAAUCCAAUGAUGAAUGAAUAACCAUCGGUAAAUGCUAUUUUGACUUUCAAUAUCUACCACUACCAUUGGAUUGUUUUGACUCAAAAUUUGUGUCAAAAUUUUAAGUAAAAAUUUUCAGUUGAAAUAACCGCGCCAUAUGUAUACGUGUGUGUAGAUGGGUAUAUACAUUUAUAUAGAGUAAUGUUCCAUCAAGGGAUCCCAUACAUCUAUAUGUAUAUACACCCACACAUAGAGCCCGGCACCCACAAAUACAUUAUACAUACACACAUUUUAGAUUUUCCAUAACCUUCUAAAUUAGGCACCAUGUAAAAAUGCCAAACCAACUAAUUAGUAUUUUAAUUAACCAAGACAUGUCUACAUUUUUUUUCUCAAUUGUCACAAAUAUACAUAUAUAUAUAUAUAUAUAUAUAUUACAUUAUGAGGCUACUGAGAAUCUACACACUUAUAAGUCUACGGAGACUAAAUCGAAAAUCUAGGACCAGCCGAACAAACCGACAUUAGUAAGUGACUGACCUUCUUCUCCCCAAGAAAGUUUCGGAUCUCGAUGGACUUGUUGGCAUUGCCGAUGGAGGCGUUGAUGGGGAAGUGAGCGUAGACGAAUCUCAUCUUGUAGCGGUAUCCCUUGGUGACACCGUUGAUGAGAUUCCCGACGUGGCUGAGGGCAGUCCUGAUGGCGGCGCUGGUCUUGCGAGAACCGAACCAAGCGUCGAUCUUGAGCUUCCGCUUCCCGGUUUCCUCGUCGGUCAUCAGAUGGAAGUCGAGAUUCAGGUGCUUGAAAUCCCGGCUGAGCUUUCCUCUGGGCCCCUCAACCUCGAUGAUCUUAGCAUUGAUCUUGAUUUUCACCCCGUCUGGGAUGUCCAUCGUCUCUGAUGAUAGUAUUGUCUUCAUUUUUCUAUCAACCUGCUGCAAAGCCUGCAACCCAAAAAACCAAAACCCUCGCUCCAAGCUUAAGUUAUAUAAAAAUUUGGGUGAGUUCCCGAACGAAAAGAGGAGGAUUAGGGUUUUUGUUUUUACGUAAAAUUUUAUUCACACUGCAUAGAGCAACCUUUAGCAAAAUCCGGGCCUGGGCCCAAUAUAGACGGGCCAGGGCCGGGUUGGUGAGUCCGGUUUUCGUUAAUAAAAAAUACUUUUUAUUGAGAUUUAGCUAUUAAAUAUUGUAUUAAAAAAACCUUAAUGUUUUAAAUAAAAAGUAAAAAUAGUAAUAUUUAAGCACAGUAGUAUAUUCUUGUAUAACAUAAUGGAAACAAAUUAGUGAGUGAGAAAAAAAUAGUAGUAGAGCAAACAAAAAUCGAAUUAAUUAUUAAGCCCACUAAUUCCUUCAAUAUUUCAUUUUUCGAUUCGGAUGGUCAAUUAAAUAAAAAUUUCUAAAACAACAUAAUUACACCUAUAUAGGAAAAUUUGGUGUUCGUAUGUGUGUGCGUAUUUAUAUAUAAUCAUUUUAAGGUGUAGACGCCUUCAUUUUUUUUUAAUGCAGGCAUAUUAUUAAACUAUGUUGUUUAAUAGAGUUAAUUUUCAAUGUACUAUAAAAUCAUACGGCUAAUAGCAAUUAAAACUAAUUUUAUUAAACCGCAUGGCUUAACAACAUAUCCACAUCAAAAAAAAUAAAGCCACUCACUUUAGAGAAUGACUCUGUGUGUGUGUGUGUGUGAUGAUAUAAAUUGUGGAAUCAUAUAUGACUUUUAGUACCCAUAAGUUUCAUUAGUUAUAUUACGAAUUUUGAAUUGACAAUAAUUGAACUUACAAAUUGGGGUCUAUCAAGUAAUCUUUUAGACAUAUUACUAAUUCUUUUUUUAUUUUAAACUCAGGCUCCGGGACAUCUCAAAAGAAAAAAUAAAAUCGAGCUAUGGGGUAGGCACAAGCAUUUUUUUUAUAGAGGAGGUCUUUUGACAUCCCUUCAAAAUUGUUCACAAAAUCCAUUUUUCAUUGAAAGAUGAGUCUAUUGGCAUCCCUCUAAAUACUUCUUGACAUCCCUUUUCUUUAUUAACCCCAUUAAAAUAUUUAUAUUAUAAAAUUCUUUUAACACCUCUUUUAAUGACAAAAAUACCCUUAAUUGAAAUUUAUUAGUAUAAAUCUCAUUAUUUAACUUUUAUUUACUUUUACCUGCACCGAUAUUCUCAAACUUAUUGAGAAGCACACCUUCGCAUUUGACCUGGAAUCACUUCAUUACAUCUUCCUUUGUGAUACAGCUAGAAUAAUUGGUUCUCCAAGUCAUUUUAUUUAUUUAUUUAUUUUAAAAUUAAUUGUUACAUUCUUGUUUAGUUCAUAAUCUUGUUGAUCCCUUAGUUGUGGAUUUUGAGACAACUAAUCAUCCAUUGAAGAGAGAGAGAAGAAAAAGAAACUAUUGCUCCACUAAACUUCUACUUUGAUUCGGUAAAUCACCAAAACACUACAUGGCAAACACUUUGCUCUAACGCAUGACAAUUCAUUCAAACUGAUGAUGAUGCUUAGCAAACAUAUGGCCACCAUGCAUGCAAUUAUAAGGCCAAAUGUUAUUUGGUUUAUCGACAAAGAUGUUGAACGCAAGCAUCUGAAACUUAAUUUCUCUCUUCAGGUUUGAAAGUUUCUUCUUUGGGUUUGGUAAUGAUGAUAGUUUGAUCUUUUAUUCAUUUAUCCAUUUUAUCCGUUUGCAUGGUUAUUUUCUCCUAAAUUUGAAACUCUUAAAUUGGGGUUCAAGAAAGAGAAGAGAGUUUAUACUAGAUGUCGUAUAAAAAAUUUUUAAGGAGAAAAAAAUUCUUCGACUUUUGAGUGGGGAUUUAAUUAAAAAUUAUUCUAUUAUAUAAUUUUAAUAAACGUUAAAAUCGUAAAAUAAUUAAAGAGGUGUUAAGAAGUAUUUGGAGUGGUGCCAAUAGUCCCACUUUUAAUUGAAAUUACUUAAAGUAAUCUAAUACUGUUAUAAAAUAAAUAAAUAAUAGAGAAAAUAUUGAACUAAACAAAGUACUUAAGAGUACCUUAUUAUUAAGCUUAUUAUUGAUAAGCUUUUCAAUUUUUGUUGUUACAAAGACAAAUGAAUACAUUACAUAUAUAUAGAGUUGGAAAGCUAGGGGAGGAAGGAUGAUUUGUUGAUGUGGGAUAAAUGGUGAAAGUUUACCAUUGUGUUUACAACACUCCCGCUCGAACUUCACCAUUUAGGUAUUUAUUAUGUGUGCUUAAUAUUGUCUCGUUAAAACCUUGCCAGCAAAACCUAGUGGGACAAAACCUGGUCAAAAGAAAAAGAGUCCAGUGCACAUUUAUCUAAUAUAGUUGUAGAAACUCAUAUAUUCAAAAUAUACUCCCUUUGAUGAAAUAACUCCUCAAAUUUCAUGUAUUAAUUUACUAAUUUUUUGAGUUGACGCAUGCCAGUAUUGUGGACUAAUUUCUUAAACAUUGAUGUUGGCAAAGAUUUAGUGAAAAAAUUAGCAAAAUUAUCAGUGGAGCAUAUAUGUUUGACAUCAAUUUUCUUGUCAUGUUGCAGCUUAUGAGUGUAGAAGAACUUUGAUGUAUACUUGGUUCUACCUCCCUUAAUAUAUCCUUCUCUAAUUUGAGCAAUCCAAAAAGCAUUGUCUUCGUACAUAAUUGUUGGAAAAUCAGUUGUGAAUGUUAAAUUGCAAGUACUUUGAAUAUGAUAGAUAAUAGACCGCAACCAAAUACACUCUCCGCUUGCUUCAUGUAGCGAAAGGAUCUCUAAGUGAUUAUAAGAAGUGACAACAAAAGUUUGCUAGUAGAUCGUUGUGAAAUUGUUGUGUCAUUACAAGUGAAAACACAUCCUGUUUCUGAAUGGACUUUGUGGUGAUCAAAUAGGUAGCAUGUGUUUGCAUAAUCGAUAAGAUCAAGAUUCUCUAUUGGUUGACUUAAAUAAAAUAACCCCAAGUCUGUUGUUUCGCUAAGAUAUCAAAAGAUAUACUUGAUGCCCUUCCAAUGUUUGCGUGUUGGCGCUAAGCUGAAUCUUACCAAUAAGUUCACAGAGAAUGCAAUGUUUGGUCAAAAUAAGUCUCUUUUAGGGUCAAGAGACCGAACAAUUAUAGAAGUGCUUAGCGGAUAAACAUUAUUUAUAUUGAAACACUUUAAAAAAUUUUCAACAUAAGCGGAUUGAUGGAUAAGCACUCUAUUUGUUUUAUGCUCGAUCUGUAGGCCCAGACAAUAUUUUGUUUUCCCUAUGGCUUUUAUUUUAAAUUCUCUUCUUAAAUAUUUAGUAGUUUUAGGAGCUCUUCAGGAGUUCCAAUUAAAUUCAUCAACAUAAACUGCUAUAAUUGCAAAUUCAGAUUUAGAUUUUUUAAUGAAUAGGCAUGGGCAAAUAAAAUCAUUUUUGUAUCCUUCUUUAAUUAAAUAUUCACUCAAACGAUUAUGUCAAUGUUUCCAUAUUAUUUCAGUCUAUAUAAGAAUAGUUUUAACUUGAUGAAACACAUAUUACAGUCCUUUGAUUUAAAUACUUUAAGCAUUUCGAAUCAUUCAGGGAUUCUUAUGUAAAUAUUAAUGUCAAGUGACCCAUAUAAAUAUGCAGUCACUACGUCCAUAAGAUGCAUGUCAAGACUUUUUUAGACUGUUAAGCUGAUUAAAAAUUGAAAUAUAAUAGCAUCCAUAACUGGGGAAUACGUAUCUUCAUAAUCAGCACUAGGUCCCUAUGAGAAACGUUGUGUAACUAGUCAUGCUUUAUAUCUAGUGAUUUCAUUAUGCUCAUUACGUUUCCUUACAAAUAUCCUUUUGUAUCCAACGGGUUUGACAUCUUCAAGUGUCUGGAUUAUAGGUCUAAAAACUUCACGUUUAACUAAAGAAGUCAAUUCUGCUUGAAUUACUUCUUUCCAUUGAGGCCAAUCAUGUAUUUGUCUAGAUUUAUCAACAGUUUUAAACUCAAAAUCAUUUGUAAUUUUAGUAGCUACUAUGAAUAAAAAUACAUUGUCGAAGUUUAUUUCAUUACAAUCCCACUUUUUUUUUGUAUAAGUAUUGUUUGUAUAGUUUUCUUUAUUUUUAUGUUUUUGUAUCUCUUUAGGGGUUACUGUCUCACCAUAGAGUUGUGCCUUUUUAGGGACCAUCGAUUCUUCUAGUGAUUAAGAUAAUGUGGGUACAGUUAUAGCUCGAGCAUUAUUUUCAACAAUAUCUUGAUCUUUCAUUCUCCUCUUUUGAGAAGCACUGUCUUUGGAACCAAGUGAUCCACCAUGUUUAUGAAGUGUAAUAGAUAACUCAUUAGCUACUUUUACACUUGAUUGUUCAAUAGGAACAACUACCCCAGCUGCUAUACUAGCAGCUAGAGUAUAUGACUUGGUUACUUUUGUUGCAUUUGUAAAUGCAUCUGGCAAUUAAUUUGCAAUUUACUAUAACUAUAUUAUCCUUCAUAUUUCAUUUUCACAUUGACUGGUAUGAGGAUCUAAAUGAGAUAAAGUGGAAACUUUCCAAGAGAAUUCAUGUGUUAUUGUAGGAGUUUUUCCAUUUUCCAAUGAUGGAAAAAUUAUCUUAUCAAAGUGAUAAUUCACAAAACAUGUGGUGAAAAGAUUACCCAUUAUGGGUUCAAGAUAUCUGACAAGUAAAAUUGAGUGAAAAUCGAUAUAAGUCCCCAAACGAUGUUCAGGUCCCAUAUUUGCGUGUUAAGGUGGUGAUAGAUACAAUACAACAAAAAAUGAGUUGAUGAGAAAUGUCAGGUUGUUGACCAAGUACAAACUGUGCUGGAGAAUAUUGAUGAUAAGCAGUGGAUCUAAGAUGAACUAAUGUUGUAGCAUAUAAAAUAGCAUAAUCAUAUGUAGAUAUCAGUAAUUUUAUACGUACAAGUAAAAUUCUUGCAAUUAUCUGUAAACGUUUAAUUAAUGAUUUUGCCAAUCCAUUUUUUGUAUGUACAUGUGGAACCGAAUGCUGAAUAUCGAUACCUACUGAUGUACAGUAAUCAUUAAAUAUCUUAAAUGUAAGCUUGCCAAUAUUAUCCAAAUGUAUGGUUUUGAUUGGAUAAUUUGGAAAUCGUGCUCUUAAUCUUAUAAUUUGGUAAAGUAAUCUUGCAAAUACAACGUUACAGGUAAACUAUAAAUUUUAAAAGCAAUCGUAUGUGUUUGGUAAAUUUUCCUACUGAACUGCUAUAAGAAUACAAAAACUAAAAUGAACAUAAUGUUUACCAAGAUUUGUUUAUAAAUAAAUAAUGUUUUAUGGUGUAUAUUACUAAUUGAUAAUUAAAAUAACUUUUUGUUUAUUUUAUUUUAUUUUAUUAUUUUCUCGAUAUAAUUGAUAUCUACUAUUGGUGGCAAAAUUUGAACAAAACAUAUUCACAGCAUGAUAGUAUAGGAAUAUUGCACAUGACUUUUAAGCCUUUGAAAAGAAUGAAAGAGAAGCUGAAGAGAUAAGGGCAAAACACGAAGAUCUCAAAAAAUUAACUUCAACCAUCUAAAUCACAUGAAACUUAAUAAAGAUACCCCCUACAACUCAUCAAACCCACCACAUGUCAAUAUAAGACCAUAAAAAACAAUGAUAGUCUACCAAUAACUCCAAGAAACAUUAUCACAGUACAGUCUCCACUUGGGUUUUCUCUAAAAUACCCUACUACAGGCUACAAGAUUUAGAUAUGCAAAGGGGACCCCAACGUAACCGCCUACCUCAUCUCCAAUAAAAUUAGAUACCUUUCAACCCAAUUGGUUCAUUUAAAAUGAAACAAACAGGGUUGGGGGCACACUGCCAAUAAGGACAAUCCCUCCUCAAGCAGGGGUUUUAGGUAAUUUAGCAUUUCUUGUUGAAGAUCUUGAGCUUGCUCUGGUUGGACAAUUGUCCUUUGAGAAGAUUUAGAUAUGAGAAGGGGACCACCAAUAUAGAUGCCUACCCAUUCUCCAGUAAAAUUAGAUAACAUUCAACGCAAUUGGUUCAUUUAAAAUGAACCAAACAGGGUAGGGGACACAAUGCCAAUAAGGACAAUCCCUCAAAGGAUAACUGUUCAACCAAAGCAAGCUCAAGAGCUUCAAUAAAAAAUGCUAAAUUACCUAAAACCCCUACCUAAAGAAGGAAAUAAUCAACAGCAACUUGCCACGUCUCCAAAACAACACAAAGAUACCCUUAAGAGCAUUCUACCUUUUAAGAUCAGGUUCGUCUCACAAAGGGAGCAAAUUCUCUCACUCACACAAACAAUCAAAUUUCUUAUUAUUUAGGGUUCCUCUCAAACCCAUCAUCUCCUUCAACCUCCAACUGGCUUGAUCGUUAGAGUGUCAUUGUCGGCCACCAUUGGUGUCACUUCUAACGUUCUUUUUCUUUGAUUUCAAGUUGUCUUAGCCACGACCUUCCACAAAAUGAUGUUCCUGAGUAGUCUAUCUUGCCAUUGCCAAGAACCACUUGUAGAGGAUAAGCUCUCAUAAAGUUCUAAGCCAAACUAAAAUUAGACCAAAAUAUUUAUUAUGAUAAUGAUCUCCCUAAAUUUAAUAAUUUAAUUUCCUAAUUGAAUAAGGAUAAUUUUAAAAUUUUAUAAUAUAUGUGAGGAUAUAUAUGUAAGAAUGGCAAAAUUCCCUAUGGGUUUGGGUGGAGAGUUUUUUCAUAUGCGUUGUUGUGCUCAUAUCUUGAAUUUGAUAGUGAAAGAAUGAUUGGAUGUGACUAGUAAUAGUGUUGAAAGAAUUUGUAAUAGUGUUGUUUAUUGGACAUCAACACCCAAAAGAGAGGAAAAUUUUUUUGAAGUUGCCCGCCAAUUGAAUAUCCAAAGUAGUAAGAAGUUAUGUCUUGACUGCAAAACUAGGUGGAAUUCUACUAUUUAAUACUUCAUACUGCUUUGAUAUAUAAAAAUGUUUUCUCUCAUUAAAAACAACGAGAGUCACAAUAUAAAUAUUUGUUUUCGGAAGAAGAUUGGAAGUUGGCGAAAGAGAUUUGUAAUAGAUUGGAAAUAUUUUUUGAAGUGACUGAGUUAUUUUCUGGUACCUAAUAUCUUACAGCCAACCUUUACUUUCCAAAGAUUUGUCAAAUUAAGCUAUCGAUUUCAGAGUGGCUUAUUUCUCCAUGUGAUAUAAGAAAGGAUAUGGCAUUAUAUAUGAUAGCAAAAUUUAACAAAUAUUGGAAUGUGAUUCAUGGGAUAAUGGCUAUAGCCAUUGUUUUAGAUCCAAGAUUCAAGAUGAAGUUAUUAGAGUUUUACUUUCCAGAAAUAUACCACAAUGAUUCUUCAUAUGAAAUUGAUAAAAUUUGCACGAUUUGUUAUGAGUUGGUGACAGAAUAUCAGUCGAAGAAUAAUACCAUAGAAGAAGUUUAUCAAUCUACAAUUGCUUCAUCUUCUCAAUUAGAAUUGCUUUUGGGGAAGGUGGAUCAUUUGGCAUAAUUUGACUUAUUUGUUAAGUAAUACCACUAGUGAUGAGCAUGUUAAGUCAGAGCUGGACCAUUAUUUAAGGGAACCCGUCUUACCUUGGUCUCCUAAGUAUGACAUAUUGGCUUGGUGGAAAGCAAACGGUAGCAAAUAUCCUACUUUGCAUGCUAUUGCUAGAGAUAUUUUAGCCAUUCAUGUUUUUGCAGUUGCUUCUGAGUCUGCUUUUAGUACCAGUGGUAGAUUCUUGAGUUCACAUCGUAGCAGAUUACAUCCUAAAACAUUGGAGGUUUUAAUGUGUGCUCAAAAUUGAUUAUGGGCAAAAAUUAAAGGUAUGUUGUGUGAAUAAAUAAUUUGCAUUAAAGAGUGUGUGUGUGUGUGUUUAAUUCUAUUUGAUUUUUAUUUGGUUUUAGCAAGCUAUUGUUCAUAUGUGAGCCUGUUUAUAUUAUCAGGUUCUAAUUCUGGUUCUUUUACAAAAAAUAGAUGCAACUCAUUUUAUGAAGAUACAGAUGAGGUAAAAUUCUAUUUGAAUGAGGUUAAUCAUCUUAUUUAUUACAAGUGUUUACAAAUGAUGUAUGACAAAACCUUUUCUUAAAUAAAUUUGUAGUGAACUAACAGACAAUAAUUUUAUUAUUUGAUAUUGCAGGAUUAAAGUGACAAUCAUAAGCUAUAUGAAUAUGAUAAAGAGAAGAUGAAGCCAAAGAAAGAAGGAUUUGAAACAUUUGCUAUACAUUUUUGUUCUUUUAGUUAUGAUUUAUCCAAACAUUUUGUAGUUUUGAUAUUGUUUCAAACUUUUGAAGUUUUUUUCAAUAAUUUAAAUACUUUAUAAAAUGGUGAUGAUUUUAGUUUAUUUAAGUCUCUAAUUUUUUAUUUAUUGAAAUUAUGUAUUCAUACAUAUUGUAAAAGAAUUAAAUAAGUAAAUGAGGAAUGGGGUAGGAAUGCGGAAAUCAUUCCCCACAUGGAGAUUCUCCAUCCCCACCCCAAUAAAUUUAUUGGGGAAUGAGGUGGGGAACAGGGGUUAAAAUUUUUUAUGGGCUGGAGAGUGGGGUAGGCCUCCCCACCCCCACUCCACCGCAUGGUCAUCCCUAUAUAUAUGAAAUUAUGAUUGUCAAAAUUAAUUUUUAAUAAGCUUUUUUUUUCUUUUUUUUUUAAAGAUCUAUAAGAUGAGAUAAUUUUUCUAAAAGUAAUUUCUUAAAAAAAUUUACUAAAUAUCAAAAUUAACUUUUAAAUUUUCAAAUCAUUUUUAAACCUUCCAAAAAAUCUCAAACAACCUCUAAGUGUAUUUUAAGAAGUAACAUCAAAAGGGGGGGGGGGGGGGGGGGGUGUUUGUGAAGAGGGUGUUAAAAGGUCCAGCUCUUUUUGUACCCUAUCUACAACUAUUCUCAAGUUUAAUUCGCUGGUUAAGAAAUUAAAACCAUUAAUAUUAGAGAAGGAAAGCUUUAAUGCAUUAAAGCAAAUAGCUUUAGUGCAUUACUUUUUUCUUAAUUAAAAGCAAAUGGCAUGUGAUAAGAUCGAAUUAAAGGUUAAUAUUUAUUUAAAAUGAGUUUUUCGUGAGUCCCAAACUCCCAAUAGAGUCAGCACCCCAUUUUUCUCUUUCUCAUGUGAAAAAAGAGAAAAGAUUCAUUUAGAAUAAACAAUUACAGAAUCAUUUGAUUUGGAUUAAAAUUAAUCCUUCCUAUAACUCAUUCAGGUUUUUUUUUUCCUUUGGAAAAAAAUGCUUCAUUAGACAAAAACAUUCCAAGAGAAUUGCAAUUUCAAGAGGCACAUCUUUCAGUCAUGUACAAGACUUUGAUUGACAAAGAGCCAGUAUAACAACGUGGGCCACUGAGUUACAGGGCCUCGGUGCAUGUUUCACAACAAACAAACUUUUGUUACAAAUAAGAGCUCUAAUGUCAUAUAUAACCCAAUCAAUUUCCAAAUUGUUAAUGAUUCUCCGUGAUAUAAGAUUAAUGAUGUUAACUGAAUUAAAUUCAAUCACAAGUGGAGUAAGCCCCAAAUCCACUAUCAGUUUGAUGUCUUCCAAUACUGGACUAGCUUCCGUAAAUUCAAUAUCACCCGAGAAGGAUCUUCUACAAAUUGAAGCAGCCAUUAACUCUCCCUUAGAGUUUCUAAUAACUACUCUGAGCUCGGUGAAACCUUCAAUCUCACUGAUAGCUACAUCUGAAUUCAACUUGAACCAAUUAUUGUUAGGAGGAGACUAUUUUUCUUCUUUAAUUACGAGAGAUUAAGGGUGAUCAGAAUCUAAUCUGAUUUGCUCAAUUUGCCUUAUCUGUAGAAAUUCGAUCCGUAAAAAUCCUAUCCAUGGAUUGGUGGAUUUGAUUGAAUUAAAAAUUUAAAAAUCCGUAGUCAGUGAACUUGAUAUGGAUUUAAUUUUGUAAAUCAGCAAAAAUCUACAAAUUCGCAAAAAAAAAAAUUUAUUUAAUAAAAAAUUAAACUUGUAAAUAUAGCAUUAAUACUUACUAAUAAAUAAAUAAGUUAAAAUAUAGGUACAUUAACACCAUCUUAUAUCUUAUCCAAUAAUAAUAUAAAAUAAAAAAUAACUAAACAAACAAAUAUAGCUUGUUAAUUUUUAUGUAUUGAUCUAAACAAAUGAGAUUUUUUUUGUUUUUGGUGUGUUAUAUUUUAAAACUUUGAAUGUAUUUUUUAAUUUUAUUUAAACAAUUAAUUUAUUUAAGUAUUAUUUAAUUUUAAAUUUGAUCAAUAGUAAAAUCAUUUGUAUAUUAUUUUUUAUUUAGUUAAUUCAUGAAUAGUACAAAAUUAAAAAAAUUUUAGCCUACAAACCAAUCCGCAAAAUGAUAGAUUGGGUCAAAUGCGCAUCCGAUUUGCAGAUGUAUGGAUUGGAUUUGAAUUGAAUUUCACCAAUCUGUGGAUUGGACUGAAUUAAAAAUUAAUAAUCUGUAUAAUCGUGGAUCGGAUAUAGAUUGAUGUUCAAUCUACAAAAUCUAAUUGGCGAACACCCCUACUAGAGAUGCUUCAAAGGGUUUAACAUAGGUAGGUUGAGCACCCUUGUAAGCCUGAAUUUAACUAUUGACCUUUACCAAAGUACUCAAAGUAUCAUUCGCUCUCUUUUGAACAACUUAGAACCACAAAAACUUCAAAUUUUUCCUUAGAUAAUAAAGAGUGCAGGCAAACACUACAAAAGUCAUUGAAAGAGUUCUUAUUUAAAACAUCAGGUAAAGUUGAAAGCUUCCAAACCAUGUUGGCCAUCCUACAAGACAACAAGGCAUCAAAAGCAAUUUUUCCUUAGCUAAUAAAGAGUGCAGGCAAGCACUAUAAAAGUCAUUGAAAGAGUUCUAAUUUAAAACAUCAGCUAAAGUUGAAAGUUUCCGUAGCUUUCUGGCCAUCCUGCAAGACAAAAAGGCAUCGAAAGCAUCUUCCUUAGCUAUUUGACAUCUUUGACAAUUAGGAGAAUCUAGUAUUUUUCUCCUGUGUAAGUUAUCUGUUGUAGGUAGAAUAUUCAACAUAGGUCACCACAUGAAAAUUUUAAUUUCACUGGAAAGAGAUAAGGAUCAUAUAUGCUUCCACCAGCCUGAGGUAAAAGAAGAAACAGGAAAGAGAUUCUGAGUAACUAAGCCCCAAGGCCAUAUGAUUAGAAAUUGAUUGAGAUUUUUCUUAAUAAUUUUAUCAUGGCAUAACUCAAAUCCUCACUUAAUACUGGAAGGAAAUUUAUUUACUCCAGAGAGAGAUCUAUCUACUCCGAAUGUAAUGAGAUAAAUGGAGCCCUAUUAAGAAGGGAAUAGAGUCCUAUAACUCCUAUUAAAAAGAGAAUAGAAUCUCAAUAAUUUUUGGGGAUCAAACCUAUGCGUUCUUGUGUGUAUGGAUUACCAACGGGCUACAAGCCCAUUAACACCUGAUAACCACUUAUGACGGCAUAAAACUUUCUCCUUUCAUAAUGCCACACUAAUUGGUUUGAUCUUGGCACAUUAGGUAGCGGAAUUCUAAGAGUAUCUUCAGCAUCUAUCGGCAUAAAAGGUCUUCGAAUCAGGGACCCAUUCCAUGAUUGAUCUGACUUGACAUAAUUAACAAAAUGAAGUGAACUUUGGCUUGACCCAGGGAACAAUUAAUGCCUCAUUUAUUUGUUUCAAGUUUUCCAUUAAUUUCUACUUUACCGCAAACAGAAAACACGUCAGUGUUUUUACUAUUAAAAUACAAUUUUUUGCUAAUUCACAUUUUUUAAAACAAAAGUGCGAUGUAAAAUAAUUUCGUCGUGUUUUCAUUUUUGUUGUGUUUUAGACCCAAACUAUCGAGACUAAACUCAUUCCAAAACCACUUAACUCACUGACCCUGACCCAAGAACUUUUCAAGAAUCACUACAAUGCACUAAGAAUCAAGAAUAAGAAACCAGAUCAAAGACAAAAUGCACACACGAAUUAAAGUGGUUCAGCACCAAAUUAAUGAUGCCUACAUCCACUGAAAACAAGAACUGUGAUUUCACUUCUUAUUGCUUUCAAGAGUUACAGAGAGCAUUUACACAAAUGGAGAAUACAAGCUUUUCAGAACUCUCUCUCACAUUCCCUAUCAAUGUCCUCUCUCGUUUUCUGUAUGUUGCAAAAUCCAAAACUUCAGCCCUUUUAUCAACUGAUUCUGGAUCCCCUUCAUCAGCGGCUUUUCCCGCUAAUGUAACAGAAUUAUCAACCUCAAUCACGUGCUUGCAGCGUGUCUCUAAUAAGCAGGUUUGAAACGGCUUCUUACUUAGUCGUUUUGAGAGACUAAGUAUUUCCUCUAGCUCACAUGUCAAACAUGUGAGCUACUUAUAACAUUGAACGACAUUCUGGCUUAUGUCGGUUUCGUUCCAAACACUUAUCAGACGACAUGUCGCGCUAACACCGAAUCAACAUAUGAUAUGUCGGGAUUGAGUAUUCAGUUCAUAUUUCAUCAGUUUUCAACAAGAAUCCUAAAUAGCAUAUAACAUUUGUCUUGUUGAAAGGUCAGAGGUUAUUUUAUUCGAGAAUAGUGAUAAUGAAAAUGUAAGAAAAUUGUUCAAAAUUGAUCAAAGGUUAGUUUAACUAGACUACAAUAGUAGAGCUUUUUUUUCUUUAAAUCUCGCUAACUUUGAUUUUUUAUUUUUUAUACUUCUCUAGCCUUUCUUUACAUAUCUCAACGCUCAAGUCAUGCGUUGUGCCAUAUAUAUUUCCAUAUUUUUUGUUGCACGACUAUGACUUUUAAGGAACUUAAAAAAUGUAACCCAUAAUUUGAAACAUGUAAUUGAAAAAAAAAAUUAAGUCGUUGUUAGAUUACUGAUGUAAUAUCAUAAUUUUACCUAAUAUAACUAAUAGAUGCGGAACUAAGACAACUUAAAGUGCGUAGUAAAGCACAAUAAUAUGAUAGUAAAAGCUGAAUAAACUCUUGUUCAAUGUUGAAAAACAUUUAAUUAUUUGACAUAGCAUUGUACUUGGUGUCAUUAUAACAAGAUCCAGUACGAAUUAAUUAACAGGAAAAAUCAUUUUAUGGCACUAGAUGAUAUUCUAGUCCAAAUGACUUGAGAGACUUAAAUAAUUAAUCUUAUAAGAAAAUUAAAAGAGUAGUGUCAAUACCACUAGCAAGUCUAAGGCGACCCGGGCACACCCAAAUUAUUAGAAGUUUUGAAAAUUCAAAUAUAAAGUUAACUUAGUAAAUAAAUUAUCUUUGAAAAAUAGUAAACAUAUUGAAAAAUUAUUAGUGUUGGCAUCGCAAUGUCUUGAUAUUGGAAAAGUCUUUGAUGUUCCUAUAACACUGCUUUUUAAUAUGACAGGAAGCUCAGAAAACCUCGGAGCAAGAAAAAACCCUAGUUUCACAAGGGAUUUUUCGCCGCCGUUGCAGGCGACUCGCUCAACAAAAGAGGCUCGGAUGCGGGAAGAAGGAAUAGAUGAGGAUAAUCUACCACCAGUUACAUAUAAGGAGACGCUAGUUGGACCCUCACAGCUUAAGGAACCUGGAGUUGGAGGAAGUGAGGAGGACUGGGAGUUUGAGGAAGGUGACGUGACUGAGAAUUGUGAAGGAGUAAUGCCAUCUAUAACUUUCUUGGCCAGGAUACAAGAAAACUUAAUUCAGCCAUGGAAGAACUCGGUUGUAGUAAAGCUGUAGGGAAAGAACAUUGGCUAUAGAGCCCUUUGUGCCCGAUUGGCUAGUAUGUGGAAACCUUCGAUGGGUUCUUGUACAUGUGUUAUUUAAUCCAUUAAAUAGGUCCACAAACUCAAAUCAUCGUGAAUUUUUUUUGGCUUAAUAUAUACCCGUCUUAUUUUAUUCAAUUGCUUUCUCUCCUAUAGUUCAUAAGAUACACCCGAAAAUCUGAAGUUGUUUGAAAAUUAUAUUUGAAUAACUUUUGAUGUGUUAAAAAUAAAAUAAUUAUACAUAAGCACAAUAAAUAUCUUCCUUGGCAAAGUACAAAUAAAUUGUUUAAUCCCUCAAGCUUUUCCAAGGUUUAAAUUCAAAUGACCAACUAAAUAAAUCUUCUUAAAAACUACUCGCCAGACCACCGGAGGUAAAUUUGUGUGGUGAUAUACAGAGAUAUACAUAUGAAAUCAUUACAAGCUAUUCAUGGAAAAAUAAUAUUAACAAUCUUUUCUAUGUGGAAACAAAAUAUUUAAGUGCAUCUAUGCGAGCACAAUAUUAACUAUUAACAUAAAUCAUGAAAAUGAAUUUGUGUGAUUCCGCAUACGUUUUUAUUUAUACAAAUAAUGAAUUAUAAAAUAUUUUCCAACUAGGCAAUUAACAUCUUAUUAGUACUCAUAAAUUCCAUUAGUGUGAUUUCACAUAUAUGUAUUUGUUGAUACAGGUAAUAGAAUCGUACGAGAUCUCGUUAGUGCUCAUAAAUUGUAUAAGUUAUUCUAAUAAAUUUGGACUAAUAAUACUUAAACAUAAAUUAUUUAAAAAUGGUGUCUAAUUUAAAAAAUAAAUAAAUAAAUUAUUUAAAACUCGGUUUUGGCCAAUCCUAGGCUACAACGACGAUUCUCAAAUUUAGUUCGUUGAUUAAGAAAGAAAAACUAUUAACAUUGGAGUAGGAAAAAGUUAAUUUGAAUUAAAAAUAAUUCUUCCUAUAUUCACUCAUAUUGGACGAUUAAAAAUUUCCUUUAACACUCAUCAGUAAACUUUUUUUCAGUUAUUUGACUUGACAUAAUUAACAAGAUGAAGUGAACUUUGGCUUGCUCUGAGGAAAAAAUUUACGCUUCAUUUAUAUGUUUGAAUUAUUCCUUAAUUUCUUAUUGACCACAUACAGAAAAUGUUGAAAUUUUGACUUGAAUAUAAAAGACAAGUUAAGUUUUGAAAGCCUGAAAAAUAUUUUCAAAAUCUUGUUCAUGCAAUUCGGUGAUGUUGAAAAUUGAAGAUGGCAACAAAUUACGCAUACAAUUUUUGACAAAUAGGCAUGACUUUAAUGCAUGCAAUGCAAGUUCCAACUCAAUGUUUUGGCCAAUUGAACCCAACUUGGUGCAAAAAUUGCCAUGGGCAUUAAAAUGCUCUCUAUAAAUAGAGAAGCAUUUUGCAAUUGUAAGCAUCCCAAUUUGAUAGAAGUAGAGAGCAAUUGCAAGUGAAACGAUUUGAGAGAUUUGAGAGAGCUUCCACUUGAGUGUUCUACUAAGCUUCUAUUUUGGUGUAUUGGGAUUUUGGAUGUUGAGAGUUUUUCCCAAAUUUUGUAAAUUCUCAUUUAUUAGUGAAAUUAUCUUCCAAUCUUUACCCGUAGACGUAGGCAUUACGCCGAACCAUGUAAAUUAUUAUGUCCUAUUUUAUUUGCAUUUGUUUAUCACCACAUUUAACCCGCGCUUCCAUAACAAUUGGUAUCAGAGCCGAAAGUUCAUGUUUGGGGCAUACAACACUGUUCACGUAUAUGAACUGUUCACAAAUACGGCACUGUUCACAAAUACAAUCAUUUAUACUUGGGAGACAGUUUAUUGUAAGUCGUGUGUAUUUUUGCAUGUCUAGGAAAGUAAUGCCAACAAGGCGAUAAGAGCCCAAGGAGUAUGGGUUUUAAGUGGGACCAUUGUGACUCCUCCAUUUUCCUGAGAACUUUCCUAGUGCAUUUAUUCACGCGAAAUAAACAUCAUAGAGACUGUUUUUCAAAUGUAAAUAUUUGUUGAAGACACUAAUCAUUUGAGAUAAAAAUGAUGGCAGAGGCAUCGUCGUCGUCUUCAUUAGCGAGGACUGCUGUGUCUACUGCAAAGUUUGAAGUAGAGAAAUUCGAUGGUACCAAUAAUUUUGGUAUGUGGCAAUGUGAGGUGUUUGAUGUCUUAUGUCAGCAAGAGUUAGACGUUGCUCUUGAAGAAAAGUGUGACAUGAUGGAUGACAAAGAGUGGACAAAGAUCAAUAGACAAGCACAUGGUACUAUUCGUCUAUGUCUGGCUAAAGAUCAGAAAUACUCUGUCAUGAGGGAGACACCAGUAAAAAAAUUGUGGGAGGUACUAGAACAAAAGUACAUGAAGAAAAGCCUUGAAAAUAGCCUUUAUAUGAAGAAAAAACUCUAUCGAUUCACAUAUGCACCUGGCAUGUCGAUGAAUGACCAUGUAAACUCAUUCAAUAAGAUAUUACCAGAUUUGUUAAAUUUGUAUGAGAAAUUUGAACAUGAAGACAAGGCAUUGUUGCUGUUAAAUUAACUUCUUAAUGAAUAUGAUCAUCUCACCACCACUUUGCUUCAUGGGAAGGACAGUGUCACAUUCAAUGUUAUAUGCAGUGCGUUGUACAACUCUGAGACCAUAAAGAAAGACAUAAAGGAUCAUAGAGAUACAGUUGCAAAAGCAUUGACAAUGAGAGGUCGUUCACAAAGCAGCAAACCUAGAAAAAGAAACAAGUCUAAAGGGAAGCCUGCCAAAGAUGAAUGUGUUUUUUGUCCCGAGAAAGGGCAUUGGAAAAAGAAUUAUCUUAAGUUACAAAAGGGCAAGGCUUCUUCUGAUGCAUGUGUAGCAGAGCAUGAUGAUAAGUCAUACUUUUCUCUAGUUGGCAUGACAUUGACAUGUCACUCAGAUGAGUAGAUUUUGAAUUCAGGUUGUACUUAUCAUAUGUGUCCCAACAAGGGCUGGUUUUCUAUCUUCAAGGAGCUAGACGGUGGAGUUAUUUUUAUGGGCAAUGACAAUGCUUGUAAAACUAUGGGAAUAGGUACAAUCCAAUUAAAUUAUCAUGAUGGCUCAAUUCAAGUCUUGAUGGGUGUUUGCUAUGUACCAAACUUCAAGAAAAACCUCAUUUCAUUAGGAGUCAUAAAAUCUAAAGGGCUCACAAUCACUUUGAGAGAUGGAUUGUUGAAGAUAGUAGCUGGUGCGCUAACAGUGAUGAAAGACACAAAAAUAAAUAACUUGUAUUAUUUCUAAGGAAGUACAGUUAUUGGAUCAGUAUCAAUAAUUUUUGGAAAAAUUAUAGAUUCAGAAGCAACCAAAUUAUGGCAUAUCUGCUUGAGACAUACUGGUGAAAAAACAUUGCAGACAUCGAUGAAGCAAGUCUUAUUGAAAGGUGCAAAUUCUUGCAAAUUGGAAUUUUGUGAACAUUGUGUUCUGGGCAAGCAGACAAUGGUCAAGUUUGGUUCAGCAAUCACGAUACAAAAGAAAUUCUGGACUACAUUCACAGUGACGUGUAGGGACCUACCAAAACAGCUUCUUUGGGAUGUAUGCACUAUUUUAUUACUUUUGUUGAUAAUUAUUCAAGAAAAGUGUUGGUGUAUUUGAUGAAGAAUAAGAAUUAAGAUUUGGGCAUAUUUCUAAAAUGAAAGAAAAUAGUUGAGAUUCAGACUGGUCGAAAGGUCAAAAGACUUCGCUCAGACAAUGAUGGUGAGUACAAGAAUGAUCAAUUUCUAAAAAUAUGUCAAGAUGAGGGCAUUGUGCGACACUUCACUAUUCGAGAUAUACCAUAGCAGGACGGGAUGGCAGAAUGCAUGAAUUGAACUAUACUGGAGAAAGUUCGAUGUAUAUUGUCCAAUGCUGAAUUGGCCAAAGAGUUUUGGGCUGAGGUAGUUGUAUAUGCGUGCCAUCUGAUCAAUCGUUUGCCAUCAGCUGCAAUUGAAGGCAAAACACCCAUGGAUAUGUGAACUGGUAAUCCUACCACUGAUUAUGAUUCUUUAUAUAUUUUUGGUUCCACUAUUUAUUAUCAUGCAAAAAAAUCUAAGUUAAACCCAAGAGUAAAGAAAAUAUUAUUCAUGGGUAUAACUGGGGGAGCAAAGGAUAUCGUCUCUGGUGUCCUAUUACAAAGAAGAUUAUUUUUAGCAGAGACGUGACUUUUGAUUAAUCAAACAUGUUGAAACAAAAGCAUUCUCAAUAGAUGACCAGACCAGUAGAACUUUGCAUCAUGUGGAGUUUGAAAAGGUUAAAAAUGAUUCAUCUAGUAUCGAGAAGACAGAUAAUGAUUCUUCAUCGACCGAGGAUGAUAAAGCAGUUUUGAUCCAGGAACCUUCAAAAUAACAAGAUUCAAUUGCAUAUAAAAGGUCAUGCAAAGAGAUUCGCAGAACUGCUCGCUUUGUUGAUAUGGUGGCCUAUGCACUUCCAAUUGCAUUGAGGCCUGGCAUUGUAGCUUUAGCUAUAACUCACUCAUAUUGAUUGUGGAUAAUAAAAAAUUUCCUUUAACACUCACCAGCAAACUUUUGUCUAGUUUUGACUUGACAUAACUAACAAGAUGAAGUGAACUUUGGCUUGAUCUAAGGAACAAUUUAUCCCUUAUUUAUUUGUUUCGAGUUUUCCUUUAAUUUUUAUUUGACCGCAAGUGGUCAGUGUUUUCACUAUUAAAACACCAUUAUUUUUAGGUAGUUCACAUUUUUCAAAACAAAAAUGCGAUGUAAGAUUUCUCCACGCUUUCGUUUUCAACAAUAAUCACAAGUAGCAUAUAACAUUCAUAAUGUUGAAAGGUCAGCAGUUAUUAAUAACGAACAUGCAAGAAAAUUGUUCAAGAUAGACCAAGGUAGCUACAAUAGAAUACAGUUUUUUAUCUCACUAAUUUUAUUUUUUUCAUUUUUUAUAUUUCUCUAGUUUCUGUUUUUCUUUACAUAUCUCAACUCUGAAGUCAAGAGUUAUGCUCUAUGUAUUUCCAUAAUUUUUGUUACACUAUUAUGACUUUUAAGAAAUUUAAAAAAAUGUAAUAUGUAAUUUGGAACAUGUAGUAAAAAAAUUUUAAUUCGUUGUAAGGCUAUAAAUGUAGUAACAUAGUUUUAUCUAAUAUGAUGACUUAUGCGAAACACAAUCAAUUUAAAGUGCGAACCGAUAGCAUAAUAAUAGGAUGGCAAACGAUGAAUAAAUACACGUUGUUUUUUUUUUUUUUUUUGAUGACAUGAGACUAUUGCUCAAAUUACAAUUCAUAUUACAUGAGAGUAUAACUGAUAUGUACAAUCAUAUAUAUAUAUAUACUGAGACCUGUUGACAUCAAUGCUGAUAUGACACCGCUCAAAUUUGUAACCCUCUCAAAUAUUCGAGGGACGCCAACUCUCAGUUUGAGAGAAAGACUGCCUUCACUCAAGCUCUGGGACUCCAAGAAAAGACAUUUUAAAUUAAACCCCUACAAUACGUAUGCGGAAGCUCGAACCACUUCCCUCAUAAUUGUGAGGGAAUGGCUCUAGCCACUUGGGCUAAGCCCAAGUGGUUAUAAAUACACGUUGUUGAACGUUGAAAAACACAUAAUGAUUUGACGUAGUAUUGUACCAGGUGUCAUUAUAACAACAACGGGUCUAAAUUAAUUAACAUGAAAAAUCAUUUAAUGGCAUUAAAUGAUGCUUGAAUUCAAAUAACUUGAUAGACUUAGAUAAUUAAUACCAUAAGAAAAUUAAAAAAAAGUAGCGUCAGUAUCACUGGCAAGUCUUACUUGACACCCAAAUUCUUAAAGAUUUUGAAAAUUCAAAUUUAGAGUUAACUGAGUAAUAAUUAAAAAUUAGUAAAUAAAUUGAAAAAUUAUUAAUGUUGACCAUGCAAUGUCUUGACAACACAUUUAUUUAAGUGACACUUUAGUGCAUUAAAUAGGCCAACACACUCAAAUCAUCAUGACUUUUUUAUUACUAUUAUUAUUAUUAUUUGCUUAAUAUAUACCCUUCUUUUUUUAUUCAACUGCUUUCCCUCCAACAGUUCAUAAGGUGCAAUAAAAAAUCUAUAGUUGUUUAAAAAUUAUAUUUAAAUAACUUUUAACAUGUUAAAAUAAUAAUAAUAUUUCAAGCACAAUAAGUAUAUUCUUGGGUAAAGCCUAAAUCAAUUGUCUAACCCCCGAAGCUUCUUCAAGAUUCCAAUUCAAAUGACCAAUCAAAUAAAUUUUGUUGAAAACCACUCGCCAAACCUCUGGAGACAAAUUUGUGUGGUUACCUAUAAAGAUAAAAGAUAUAUAUGAAAUCAGUACAAGUUACUCAUGGAAACAAUUAUAUCAACAAUCUUUUCUGUAUGGAAACAAAAUAUUUAAGCGCAACUAUGCGAGCACAAUAUUAGCUACUAACACAAAUGUGCCAUUCCACAUAUGCGUGUUUAUUUACAAAAAUAAUGAAUCAUACAAGAUCUUCCAAUUAGGCAAUUACCAUCUUAUUAGUACUCAUAAAUUCCAUUAGUGUGAUUCCACGUAUACGUAUCUAUUGUACAAAUAAUAGAACCAUACAAGAUUUUCCAAUUACCAUCUUGUUAGUGCUCAUAAAUUGCAUUAGUUACUGUAAGAAAUUUGAUUUAAUAAUAAUUAAACAUGAAAAUGGUGUCUAAUUUAAAAAAGGUAAAUUUUCAUUCGUAUACCCUUAGUUUACACCGUUAUCAAAAAUACUACAAAACUUUAAGGGUGUAUCAAUCAUCCACCCUAAGUUGACAAAAUGUAUCAACUGUCCACUAAACCGUUACUUGUCGUUUAAAUAUAAUGACGUUAGAGAGGUAAUCUGGUCUUUUCAUAUGAUACAAGUGAUAAUAAGAGAAUUUAAGGGUAUACAAGUGAUAAUUUUUCUUUCCUUGAAUUUAAGUUUCAAGGGUAAAAACAUCAAUUUACUAUAAGUCCGUUAACUUUCAAAUGGUAGCUAACGGUUUAGUGGUCGGUAGAUAACUUUUGUCAAUUUAGGGUGGACGAUUGAUACACCCUCAAAGUAUUGUAGUAUUUUUGAUAACAGAGUAAAUAUAGGGUAUACAAAUGAUAAUUUCCCUUUAAAAAUAUAUUUAAUUGUUUUUUAUUUUAAACUCGUGCCAUGGGCUGGGCAUGAAAGUUUCCAAUAGGGCCUGGGCUGGUUCGUCGAUUAAGAAAGAAAAACAAUUACUACUGGAGUAGGAAAAAAAUUAUUUUGAAUUAAAAUUAAUUCUUCCCAUACUCCCAUCAAACUUUUUUUUUCAGUCUUUUGACUUGACAUGAUUAACAAGAUGAAGUGAACUUUGGCUUGACAAAAGGAACAAUUUGUGCCUCAUUUAUUUGUUUCAAGUUUUCCUUUUAUUAAUUUCUUGACCACAAACAGAAAACAGGUCAGCAUUUUUACUACUCAAAUACAAUCAUUUUCCGGCACAAGCAUUUACAUUUUUUAAAACAAAAGUGCGAAAUAAAUUUUUUCUUCACAUUCUCAUUUUCAACGACAAUCCCAAGUAGCGUAUACCAUUUGUAAUGUUGAAAGAUCAGUUAUUUUAUUUGAUAAUAAUAGCGAACAUGCAAGAAAAUUGUUCAUAACUGAUCAAGGAUCAAUUUAGUUACAUUACAAUACAGUUAUUGUGAUAUUAUAGUCUCACUAAUUUUUUUAAUUUUUUAUAUUUCUUUAGUUUUUUUUUUUUUUAUAUCUCGAGUGUAAUGCGACAUUUAUUUCCGCAUUUUUUUUGUAACUCGUUUCCAUUUUCGUAAGGAACUUAAAAAAAAUGCAAUCUAUCAUUUAAAAUGUGUAACAAAAAAAAUUGAUUUUUUGAAUGUUAAGGAUGGGCAUUUGGACCGAAUUGUAUUAUGACAGUUUGGUUUAGUUUGCUUCGGGCAGUAAAAACCAAAUGGUUUUGAAAUCUCUGGACUAAUUUGAAAAAAAAAAAGUUAAGAAUAGGAUUUCCGAAAAUAAAAAUUUGAAAAUUAAAAACCUAGUAUAAGUUAUAUCAAUAGAGAAGGUCUUUGACUCCUAACAUGGUUGGAGCAUUGAUAUUAACAUAAAAUUAGUUGCGGUCUUCUCUUUUCUUGGGCACGACAACAAACCUUAGUCAAUUAAUUCAAUGAAAUGAGUUUAUGGAUCAACAUUCAUAAAGUAUGUUUGGUAAAAUUUAAAUUUAUUUUAAGUAGAUUGCACAAUUUUGAUUUGCUUAAGUUUCAUGCAUGAGUUCAAUAUGAAGAACAUUUAGGUAAUGAAGCUGAUGUUGUUAUUUGUUAAUUAAUACAUGUAACUAUUAAUGCGAUAUUAUACACUCUAGUUUAUUUUGUUUAAUUGUUAGUGCUUAGCUAAUGGCUCACUUUUAGAUAUAAUGAAGAUAUUGUAGACAUAGAAGUUGAAGGAUCAAGAAAUGGUAUUGAAAGAGUGCUCAAUGGCAAUGAAACUUUGAAGUAAAGUUUCUUUUGUAAUUUAUAGUGGAUUUCUAAACUAUUGUUAGACUUUAUUAUAUUUUUAAUUGUUUGUGAAUUUCUAAAUUCAAUAAUUUUGUUGUAGUAAUAAUAUAUUACCAUAUUAUGUCCUUUUUUUUUAUAAAAUAUAUAGUGUAACAUCACUCGAACCAAACCAACCAAACUGAACUGAAUUAAUUUAGUUCAGUUUGAUUCUGUUCUAGUGUUUAGUUUGUAUUUGAUUCACAAAACUAUUCCGUUCGGUUUUUGAAUCUGAACCGAACCGAGCCAAAUAGUACCCACUCUAUGCUAUGGAUGCAAUAACGCAGUUUAACCUAAAAUGACUAACACGUACGAAACAAAUUCAAUUUGGGGUUAGUGGAGGCAUAAUAAUAAGGUUGCCAAAGCUAAAUAAACAUACCUUUUUUUAAUGUUGAAAAAACAAAUAAUUAUUUGACAUAGUACUCUACUAGGUGUCGUUCUAACAAACAAAGAGAGUUACCCACAAAAGGGGAAUAAAAGAGUAGUGCCCAAGUCUAAGGUGAUCCAAGCCACACCAAAUUCUUGAAAAUUUUGAAAUUUUAAUUUUAAGAAUAAAUAAGUAGUAAACAAAUUAUCUAAUAUAGUAAAUAAAUUGAAAAAUUAUUAAUGUCGACCUUGCAAUUUCUUGGUCGUGAAUCACAAUUUAAUCCAUUAAAUGGGCCUACAAACUCAAAUCAUAGUGACUUUUUAUUUUUUUAUUUUUCGCAUAAUAGAUUUAUGUACAUCUUAUUUUUAUUCAACUGCUUUCUCUUAUACAAGUCAUAAGGUACAACCAAAAACUAAACUUGCUCCGUUGAAUCAAAAUCUUAGUUCUAGCACUUUAAAGGAGAUGAGUUUAAUAUUUAAAGAAUUGUGAAAAAAUUAUUAGAGUUAUAACCUAUUUAUGGUAGAUUAAAUAAAAUGCUACUCAAAUAAAGCAAAGCCUUAAAUCCCAUCAAAUCUCAACAGAGGAAUCAAGCCACACCAAAUUCUUGAAAAUUUUGAAAAUUUAAUUUUAGGGAUAAAUAAGUAGUAAAAAUAUUAUCUAAAUAGUAAAUAAAUUGAAAAAUUAUUGACGUUGACGUUGACGUUGACCUUGCAACUUCUUGAUCGUGAAUCAUAAUUUAAUCAUUAAAUGGGCCUACAAACUCAUAUCAUCGUGACUUUUUCCUUUUUCUUUUUUCUUUUUUCUUUUUUAGCUUAAUAUAUUUAUAUACAUCUUAUUUUAUUCAACUGCUUUCUCUCAAACAAGUCAUAAGGUACAACCAAAAACUAAACUUGCUCCGUUGGAUCAAUAUCUUAGGUCCAGCGCUUUAAAGGAAAGAGUUUAAUUAUUUUUAAAAAAUUGAAAAAUUACGAAAAUUAUAACCUAUUGAUGGUAAAUUAAAUAAAAAUGCUACUGAACUAAAGGAAAGCCUUCAAUCCCAUCAAAUCUCAACGGAGGACUCGAACACAAAAAAAAAAAAAAACUAGUUUAGAAAAAUCAAAUCAAAUUAAGAAAAAAAAAUUAAAUACUUCCUAAACUUAUCUACAUCUACAUUCAUUAGAUGUGUACAAAAUAGCCACUUCGGCCAAGGCCGAAGUGGUGGGCUGCUGCCCUCACAAUGCAUUGUGGGGGCUAAAUAUUCUUUAUAUUUAAAAAAAUUCUUCUCCCUUGCGAAAUGCAAGUGGAGUAUGGACAUCCUUCUUAUGUGAGGGGUUAUUUGUUUGGGCAUGUACUUCACAGAAUUUAAUGUAAUAAUGUAAGUCUCAAUCAUGUAUAUCUGAUUGUAAAUAUCAGUGUAAUAUCUCUGCUACAAUAACAGUUGUUGUAAAUAUCAGUAAUCUGAUGAUUAAUCAGUAUUAAAAAAAAAAAAAGAUGUGUACAAAAUAAAAUACAUUAAAAAUAACAUGACUAUUUGUAUUCCAUUCUUAUCUUUUCGAAGAACAUUUUAUUGCUUAACGCAGACGGGGUUGCAAUCAAUUCAUUUUUCAAUCAAAUUAUGAGGGGACAGCAUGUUGCAGUGGAAGAUAAACUAGGCCAACCGCAAGUCAAGUGACUAAUAAAUUUAAAAAAAGAAAAAAAGAAAAGUCGUGAAGUUUCAAUAGCUAAGCCAAUUGGCAAAACAUUUGUCCCUUUGAAAAGAAACAAUUUAUUUUUCUACACCAUUAACCAAGGCAUCGAACUUUUGGUUUUAUUUGAUAGUGACGAUGAACGAACUUUAAACGUAUCGUCAAGGGCAUGUGCUUGGAAGUUGGAUUUUAAUCCCAAAAAAAAAAAGAAGAGUGAACUCACUUUCAUGAUAAUCGAAAACGACUACUUAUGAAUAUAAAAGGCCACGGGCUUUUGAAUGUAUUAUUGGUGUCAUUUUAACUUACAGAGUACGCUAAUGCAUGCAUCAAAUUAUUGUAAAUUCAAUUGUAAAAAGUUUAGAGCAUAAUAAGCUCACGAAGAACAUAUAUAAUAUUAUAAUGGGUUAUUUAAUUGUAUUGGUUAUUUCAUUGUAUGCUUUUUAGACACAAACUUUUAAAAAUAACACUCAAUGUUAAGAAUUUAAUAAAUUAAUAAUUUAUAUUCUUACAUAUGGUAGCGGAAAGCCACUAGAACCCCCUCUUUUGGCGAAAUUAAACAUUUUCUUUCUCAUGAUUUGACACCACCAGAUUCCUCCUCGUGAAUUUAAUAAUUUUCCAUUAACUGUCAAUCUUUUUACUUUAAAAUUAGUGCGUUCAUUUUCCAACAGUUGAAUUUGUUUAUUGUAAGCAAAUGAAUUAUAUUUUUAAAAAGUGUAUCAAAUUGUUUAAUAUUGUAACGUCAAUGGUGUUGAUUUUAGAAUAGUGGGAGAAAUUUGGAUAAUUUCACCAAAUUUUGGUCAUUUUCUCAAAGUCUCAAAUUCAUACAUCGAAUACAAGAUUAUAAGUAAUUAAGUAUCGUAAUAAAUAAUUUUUCUUUUUUAUUCUUGUAUGAGAUAGAUAUUGAAAAUAUAUAUACGGGGCUUAUGUCGAUACAUUAUGUAUCUAAUGUUCACAAUUAUGUAUCAUAUAUAAAAUUUGGAGGAAAAACUCAUAAACCCAUAUGAUGCUCUUAUGCUCUAUUUCAUUUUUGUUAAUUAAAUAAUGAUGAUAACAAAAAGAAUAAAAUAAGAAAGUGAUAUGUGACACCGACAAGGACAUGGGAUAAACAAAACAAAAUAAAAUAAGAUAAUCUUUUUAUAUUAAAUUGCAUUAAAAUUGGUAAAUAACAACAUCAUACAAGUCACUCGAGUUUUUUAGAGACUCAAGUGUCGAUUAGGUGAAAACAACAUAAAAAAUCGAUUAGGUGAAAACAACAUAAAAAAAAAAUGACUAUGUUCUCUACACUUACAAGCUUUAUUGAUCAAUAAUUGGCCCCAAAUAUUUUGUCUCGAAAUAAAUAAAUCAAACGAGCCAAAUGAUAAAAAGAUGAAUGUGAUAAUUGCAAAUUGGAGCUAGAAACCAUUUUAUUAAUAAACAUGAAAGCGAUGGACAUGGGAUAAACAAAACAAAAUAAAAUAAAAUACGUUUUAUUGAUCGAUAAUUAGCACCGAACCUUUUGUCUAGAUUGAAAUAAAUCACAGGAGACAAAUGAUAAACCGCUGAUUGCAACAAAGAGCAAGAAACCAUUUUAUGUAAAAGAGAAAUCAUGGCAAGAUACAAGAGCUAGAGAUUUUUUUAAAUUUUAAUUAACAAAUUACAUACAUAGUGUUUAAUGAAAUAAACAAAUCUGCCGUUGCCGUCUUCACCAUUGAUUGAUCUCUUUAGAAGUUGCACGAUAACAUUAAUAUAUGAAUUUCUACGAACUAAUUUGCAUUAUAGUUAUUUAUGUUACAUAAGCAGCAUUGUUAAUUUACUUUAUUUUUGUAUUGAUGUAACAUCACAUUUACCAAACUUUUAACCCACUUGAGAUUGAUGACGAUAGGACGGCUGGCAAAGACAUGUUGCGUGUUUCAUGCACGAGAUUUGUGAUGAUUAAAAAAAAAAAAGUAAUGAUUUCUAAAUCACUUUAUUACAUUAAAAAAAAAGUAAUGAUUUAUGGGCGGCUUUGUUUUGUUCGUGUAUUAAAUUAUUUGGCAUCCAAAAAUUAUAUUGGGCCUUAACUAAUUUAGAUUCGAGCCGAGUAUGACCACUACAGUGUUAAAUCUCUCUCAAUAAAUAUUUAAUGCAGUCUCAUUUUUUUUUCGAAAGUUUAUGUAGUCAUUAAGAAGUUGUGAUAAAAUUAUGUAGUACGUAUUUAAAAAUUUAUAGUUUCAUUUGAGUUUUAAGAACUUGUUUGAUAAUGUUAUAUUUCUUAAAAUAAUUGAUAUUAGUUGUGUUAUAUAAAUAAUUAAUUAUGAAGAAAAUUAGUUAAACGUUUGAUAAAUUUUACUAUUAAAAGUGCAGUGAGAUUUAAAAUCGGUUGUAUGUGUUCCGUAAAUCUUACUAUUAAAUUACUAUAAAAAUAUAAAUGACUGAAUUGGAUAUAGUUUUGAAUAAAUUUUAUUUACAGAUUAAUGAACAUGCAUGUAAAACAUUUUUUUUAUUGUGUCUAUAUAUUAAUUGAUAACUAAAAUAAAUAAUUUAUUUUAUUAAUUUUAUUUUUUAUUUUAUUAUCUCAAUAUCAUUGGUAACAAUAAUAAUGUUUUUAAAGUUAAUGAAAUUUAUUUCCUAAUUAAUAAGGAUCAUUUUAGAUUUUUAUAAUAUAUAUGAGUAUAUAUAUAGAAUUGCAUUUAGUAUAAAAUUGAUUUUUAGAAUUAGAUUUUGAAAAGUUAUUCCUUUCCUAUACUCCUUCCCUACUUUUUAAAAUAUGUUGUAAGAUAUGGUGAUUUUUCAAGAAAUAAUUUUUUAAAAUUUUUUUAAAUAUUAAAAUUAAGUUUUCACUUUUCAAAAUUACUUUUGAAUCUCCUGAAAGCAAUUCUAAAUGCCCCCUAGAUAUGAUUAGAAUAUGAUAAGAAUUAGAGUAGGUUAUAAGACUUUGUAUAAUAAAUCUUAGUAUUGAAAAUGUUAUAUUAAUGAGUUUUAAUUCCAUGCGAUUUAGUCAUAUACAGAUACCAACCUACUUCUGCCAUAUAAUUAUUUGGUAUUUUGUUAAUUAUUGAAAUCUCUAACAUUACUCUUUAUAUGAAGCAAUUAUUUCCUUUUAAAAACCGUUAGAUUUUCUUAAUGAAUUUCUACUAAAAGGCCACGUUAGAUUUUCUUAAUGAACUUUUACUAAAAGGGCAUGUCCCCUUAUUGUUGUGUAAUUAUAACUUUUUUUCUCUCAUAGAAAUAUUAAACUUAUUAAUAGGUAAAAAAUACAUUUUUAUCCUUAGAACUAAAAAAUUGACAAAAUAUGAAAAUAUAUGUAUAAUCUUAAUAUUUGAGUCCAACUCAAGAUGUGGGAUUCAUCUAUUGAAUGAUAAAAUAAUAGUUUUAUAAGUUAUGAAAUUUGUCAUUUAAUAGAUUUAGAGUUAUGAUACAUAACGAUCGAGACUUAGAUAUUGAGAUGUGAUGAAAAAUUCUAAAUCUUAAUAUUGCCAAUUUUUUUCAAGAUUCAUUAAUUAUUAUAAAAACUUUAGUCAAAAACCAAGUGUUAGAAAGACAAUUUUCCCUAAAAAAAAAUUCGUUAACCAAAAAAAAACCGAAAAUGUCAUAAAAGAUUCGUUGUCUGUGUGCCAUUAUGUUACAAUAGAUUUAUGCAUAAUUCGUAUAAUAAUUUCGAUUUCUCAAUGGUGGGGACUCAGUGAAGAAGUGGUUUCUCGUUAGUUUGUGAGGACACAACGCACCAUGAUAAAUUGGCAUUUGAUAACGAACGAAGAAAGAGUAGAGUGGUUUUCCGUUAGAUUGUAACGAGAUGAUGCACUAUGAUAAAUUGAUAUUUGAUAACGAAUAAAAAAAAGAGGAAUAAUAGAUAUUUUAAAUUUUUUUUAUCUUAAAUUUAUCUAAACUAAUAUAUCAAUUUGAUAAUUUUUUACAAAAUUAAGAUGAAAAUUUUGAAGUAUGUAACACUUCUAGAAAAAAAAAUUGGCAAAUGUUGCUUUCGACGGCUCCACGAUUACAUAAUGGUGUUUCUAGAAACAUUUUGCUUUUUGGUACUUGCAUGACGGCUAAGUUCAAGCUACAAAUACAUCUCAACCGUUCAACGGAUCAAUGAUUUUUUAUCUUCUUUGAUUAAAUGACGCCCAAGUGUUCGGGGGUAAAAUUUCUCACGAAUUUGAGGGAAUAAAUUAAUUCCAUUAUUGACUUAAGGGCUUGACCCAGAUUUAAGCAGUGUUUUUUUUUUUUAAAGUUAAUCUUUCAAAACAAAUUAAUUUUAAUUUUAUCCACCCCAUUUUUUAAAAAUUAUUGUCAUUUUAAGUCUAAAUAUAUAUCAGAUUUUAUUUAAAUAAAAUAAACUCUUGAUGAAGAACAAAAUGAUCGAGUCGGUAUUGAGAAAAAUAAACAUAUUAAAUUUAUAACUGUUUUCUUUUCUUCUUUUUUUAAAUUAAUUGCUAUAUAUUUUCUUGGGAGAAAAAACUCAAAUCAGAAUAGAGUUUUGGUCUAUUAUAGAUUUGUAUCUAGUUGGCUGCGACGUCAAGCCUUCUAAAUUUUGUAUCUCUCAUGCCAUGUGGAAAGACGUAAUAGAAUCCAAGUUUUUUAGCCAAGCACGCAACUUGCAAGAAACUUUUUCUUAUACAUCAACUUUUCAAAAAGUCAAGAAACACUAAAUAAAAAAUAUAGUAUUUAGGACUAGUUUGACAAUAAUGUAGUUUUUAAAAUAAUUAUUAUUAAACUAUAUUAUAUAAUUAUCCUAAAGAGAAUCACUUAAAUAUUUGUUAAAAUUUAUUUUUAAAAAUUCAACAAGUUUUAAAAGCAGCCACAUUUGCUUGAUAAAUCAUAUUGUUCAACUGUUGUAAAAUUGUAAAUGAUUAAAUUGAGUAUAAUUUUGCAUAAAAUUUAUUUACACGUGUAUAAACAUGUGUCUAAAAUAUCUUUUAUUUUGUAUAUAUAAUAUUGAUAAGUAAAAUAAAUCUUUUAUAUUAUUAAUUUUAUUUUUUAUCUUGUUGUCUCAGUACAAUUGUAAUAAUAAUAAUUUCUUUAACGUUGAUGAUUUUAUUUCCUAAUUAAUAAAGAUAAUUUUAGAUUUUUACAAUACAUAUGAGUAUAUAUAUGGAAUUGCAUUAAAUAUAAAAUUGAUUGUCGAAAUUAGAUUUGGAAAAGCUACUCCUUCCCUACUUUUCAAAAUCUGUUAUAAGAAGAGAUGAUUUUGCCAAAACUGAUUUAAAAAAAAAAUUACUAAACAUUAAAAUUAGCUUUUAAUUAUUUAAAAUUACUUUUAAACCUUCUAAGAGCAAUCCCAAAUGAGCAUUUAAUAUCUUGAACAUAUGCAAUAAUUUAUUAUGUCUUAAGUGUGAUGGACUGAAAUAAAUAGAUAGUUGAGGAUUUGUACCCAAAUUUAUCUAUAUCUAAUUAAAAGUGUGAAUGCGGCCCAUUAAAAUUUGAUUUAAUUCUUGAAUUAAAUUCAAAAUGUAACUGCAUCCCCAUUAAUCACAUAUUAAAUUCUGAAUUUAAUUUAAUUUUAAAAUAUGAAUUAAAUUGACCGUUACAAUCUCAAAAUAAAUUAUAAUUUAAUUAGUAGUUACAAACUAUAAAAUUUAGAAUUGAUUGGAUAAUUAAUUUCGAAUUUAAUUAGCCCCCACAAUUUUAAUAACUCUUAUUCUUAUUCAAUAUAGUUAACAAAUGUAUUUUGAGCGUUAAUUUUUUGUUCACCCCAACAUACAUCAUUUUAUCUUUGAGUAUAUAAAUAUAUUAUUUUAGAACACUAAUAAAAAGAAUUCUGAAUCAUUCGUAACCAAGUCGUGAUCAAAAUUUUACUUCAAGAUAAAAACUCAUGCUAGUUUUCCAACAGUUUACAUCAUACAGUUACUCUUUUACUAGAAAUCGACAUAUAUAUAGUAGAGAUUAAGGGUGUGUUUACUUAAAGGUUUAGGGAAUGCGAAUGAAAGAAUGUGAAUAAAACUCAUGUUUAUUUGAUAAAAUAUAAUUUUGGAAUAAGAAUCAAAUGUGUGGGUCCUACACAAUUUGGAAAUAAGAAAUUGGGAAUCUUAUUCCCAUUGGGGGUUGGGAAUAGAAAUAAAGGAAUGGGAAUGAAACAUGGGUUUAAUUUUAUAUCCCUCUAAUUUUUUCAUAUUUUCCAAAUUACCCUCGUUCAAAUCACAAUUAAUUUUUAUUAUUUUAAAUGUUAUUAUUAUUAAAUUUUAUUAACUUUAUUAUUUUAGUUAUUAUUAAUUAUUUUUAUUAUUAUUUUUAUUAAUAUUAUCAUUUUUAACAAUUUAUUAUUAUUAUUAUCAUUAUCAUUAUCAUCAUCAUCAUCAUCAUCAAAAUAUAUUAAAUUUAUUAUUUUAAAUGUCAUUUUUAUUAUUAUUGACUUUAUUAUUUUAGUUAUUAUUAAUUAUUGUUAUUAUUAUUAUUAUUAUCAAAAUUUACUAAUUUUAUUAUUUUAAAUGUCAUAAUAAUAAUAAUAAUUAUUAUUAUUAUUAACAUUUAUUAUUAUUAUUAAUUUUAUUUUUUUAAUUAAUAUCAUUUUUAUAAUAAUAUUUAUACAUGUAUUUAGUUAAUAAAAAUUACAUUAUUUAAUACUAUGAGUAUUUUGGUAAAUUUAUUCUUAUUUCUAGGGAUGGCAAUGGAGCAUAUAUGAGUUGGAUCUACUCUGCUCCAGAUUCAGAUCCAUAAUAAAAAUCAAGAUCCGCAUCUGCUCCAGAUCCGUCAUGAAUCCAUAGUUUUCACUCUAUUUCCAGAUCCAUAAUAAUAUUUAUACAUGUAUUUAGUUAAUAAAAAUUACAUUAUUUAAUACUAUGAGUAUUUUGGUAAAUUUAUUCUUAUUUCUAGGGAUGGCAAUGGAGCAGAUAUGAGUUGGAUCUACUCUGCUCCAGAUCCAGAUCCAUAAUAAAAAUCAAGAUCCACAUCUGCUCCAGAUCCGUCAUGAAUCCAUAGUUUUCACUCCAUUUCCAAAUCUAAAAAAGAAAUAAAUAUAUGUAUCUACUCCAAAUCCGAAAAAAAUUAAAAUUCAAAUCUGCUCUAAAUCUGUCAUUAAUUCUAAAACUCAUCAAUUAAAAAAUAAUAAUUUUUUAGCAUGAAAAUUGAAGGAUAAAAUGUAUUGAUAACAAAUAAAUUAUAUAAUUUUUCUCAAAAAUAUAAUAAAUAUUGUAGCUUAUACUUUUACACCAAAACAACAAAUAAGAUAAUAAAAUAUUCUUUAAAAGUAAUUGCAAGAGUAAGAUCGAUCUAAUAUUUUAUUGUCUCCUUUAUCAUUCUAAUAUCCACGACACACUCAUCAUCAUUCUAUAACAUUAGAUAAUGACAUAUAAAUUAAAUAUGAUUUAUAUUCAGUCCUUUAUUAUUUUUAUUAUGACCAUAUUUGACUAAAUAAAUGAAUACCUAUAUUCUUUAAAAAUUAUUUGGUCAAUAUAAUAAAAUAAAUUGUCAGGUUGUAUUACUUGACUUGCAAUUUGAAUAUUGCAUGUACAUUCUUUGAGGUUGGUUGACCUUUAAAUUUUAAGAGUUUAAAUGCAUGGUAAAUACCACUAAUAUGCUAUAAAUAAAAUUUAUUAUCAUUAUAAUUCCACAAUUGUUAAGAAACUUUUAAAAUUAAAUUAAAUUAAAAGAUGGGUGAAUAUGGAUAUGGAUUUAGAUAUUAAGAUAAAUCCAUACAUGCUCUAGAUCCGUCUUAGAUCCGCACAUCAAUAUCCAAAUCCGAUCCAAAUUCAUUUUAAACCGACCCAAAUUCGAUCCGAUUAGAUUUGAAUCACGUGGAUCUUGGGUAAGAUCCAAUCCAUUAUCAUCCCUACUUAUUUCUAUUUCUCAUUCUCAUUUAUUUUGUCAAGUAAAUAUAUCAAUUGCAUUCCAGCACAUUCUCAUUCUCAUUUCCAUUUAUUUUUAUUAAGUAAAUAUUGAAAUUUCAUUCUCAUUCCAACCCAUUUCCAUUUCCAGCUUAUUCAAAUCCCAUGAAAUAAACACACUAUAAUUACCAAAUAUCUGGACCUUAAGUAGAAUCCAGAAGAAAAAGAAAAUCCUUGUGAUAAACAAGAUGAUCAAAAAAUACAAGCCACAUGUCAUAAUUUCUAAUUUUGCCAAAGAGAUAAAAAGACCCCUCAUAUAAAAGACAAAAGGGAAAAGUCAAUUUUAUCCACGAUAUACGAGUCGCCAAUUGGCAAUUGGAUUGGGCACCGCAAUGAAGUGCUUCUAGAAGGAUAUUACUUCAGCUCUUUAACCUUUGGCCAUUGCUUUAUCGUUUUCAAGAUAUUGAUUGCCCGAAGGCUUAUUCUGUGGUGGGGCUUUUGUCAUAAUCACCAUGGCACGCCCUCAGAAAAAUUGAAGACACGAACAAACUGCGCCUCUGUUACUUGGUAUUAGAAUGAAAAACUGACAGUGACUCACCAUGGCACCAGCUCCAUUUCCCCUUUAUUCAUGCUCAUAGCUAGCGGCCAUUGCCUCUGCAUGUGGCUGCUUUUGUGCAGGCUAGCUAGCUAAUACAUUUCUUUGCCUUUUGGUGCAAGAAUAAGAUGUUUAUAGUAAUAACCACUUUCCUAUUCCAUUAUUCUGGUGCUUUUUUCUCAGCUUUUGUCUUUGUCCGAGUCAGCUGAUGCCACAGAGAAAGAUGGUGGCCACUUAGAUAUUGCCGUAAUUUACAACACCUAGAUUUAAUGUUAGUCAUUGAAAGUGCACGAUCUAAAAAUAAUCUAAAAAAAGAAAGUGGUGCUUUUAUAUAUAUUAUUGAUCUCCUCGCAAAAUUCUAAAUUUGAAUGUAACAAUUUGGUCUAAAAAAAGAGGUUGUGGUCCAUUCAGGAUCAUUCAGGACCACCUCAUGGUUCAGAUAAAAAAAAAAAUGGAGUUAAACUAAUGGGACCAAAAAAAUAUAAAAGAAAUUAAAUGAAGUAUAUAGAAAGAGAAAAGAAUUCAAAGAGAUAUUAAAAUGAAUAAACUUAAUUUAUGUUGGUUUUAAAGUAAAGUAUUGUCUAUUUGCUUAUAUUUUUAGUGAUUUUACCAAUGUCAUUGAUGAAAUAAAAUCUAUCUUUUCUAAAUUUUUACUAAAUUAAAUUUUAUUCAUAAAUGAGUUAAUCCCUCAAAAUUUUCUAUUUAAAUAAAAAGCUAUAUAUGUUUAUAGCUUACAUUUCAAAGAGAUUUUUAUAAGCUUCUUCAUAAACCAUUUUUAUUUUACAUUAAUUUUUUGAUGAAUCCUGAUAACGUUAUUAAUUCUUCAAAUGUGAUAGGAAUUAACGAAAUAAAAUAAUUCUUUUUGGCUCAUUUUCCACAUUUAUUUUUUCUUACUGCUGUCACUAUUUUUAUUCAAUCAGAUAAUUUUAAUCUUGCGCAACUACUGUUACUACCAUUGAUCAGGUCAACAAUAGCACCGUGAAAUUAUGAGAUAUGAGUUAUUUGUAAAAUUUAUUAAACGUUUUGAAUGAAAUAUUCGAACCAAUGCUCUUUUUAAAUGUUCUAUAAAAUUUUUCAAAUAAUGUAUUAGACUCGGUCUUCUACUUAAAUAUUAGAAAAAAUUGCUGUUUUCAAAGCUUCAAUACUGAAUUAGAAGAAUACAUUUAUAAAAUGAUGAAUUUGCGAGCCUCUAUUUAUAUUGCAUCAAAUCAAUCUGUUGAUGUUUUUAUACAACAAGUUUGAAGUUUUGAAAAUUUAUUUAAUUUGAUCUUUUUUAAAAAAAAAAUUUAGUUGUAUGUUUUUUUUAUAACUUAUGUCUGAAUUUCAAACAUUUAUAUUUGAAUAAAAAAAAAGUGAAUUUUUAUGACUUUUAUAUAAUUGGAAAAAUGUUUGAAUGGAAAGUAAAUACCACAUCCCAAAAGUAUUUCUAUUAAAUAUAAUUAUUUCCUAAACUAUAAAACCUAAUCCCUUUAUUCAUUUUAAUUUAUAGGGAAAUAAAUAUCAAAUAAUUAUGUUUAUUUUAAGAUAUUCUUUAUUUUGAUAUUAAUAAAAACACAUCAUCUAGACAUUUAUAUUCAAAUCUAUUUACACUUCAACCAAAUUCAAAUUUAUUCAGAUUUUAAACAAAAAAAUAAAUGCUACCUUAAUCAAAUUCAACCUUCCUCUUUUUUCUAGUAAUUGAGCAUAAUUUUUUCUCUUAUAUACAUUGCAUCGAACCAAUCUGUUUCUAUUCUUUUGCAAUAAGUUUAUUGAAAAAUAACCUAAGGAAAAUAAUAUGUAAUUAUCUUCGUUUUGUAGAUAAUUGAGUUUGUUAUGCAUGGUGUGGCCUAAACUCAAUCAAAUUCAAUCAUUUUCUAUUUCUACCAAUGUAGCGUAGCAUUUUCGUCAAUUAUUGUUAAAUGCUUUGCGUCUGAAUGAAUAAAGAAAUAUUCAACUGAGUUUGUAAAAGGUUAAUUUUUAAAAGUUACCUAUAAAAUGAAUUAAAUGUCUAACAUUGGAGCUUGAAUAAUGUAUGAAAUAAGUGACAUUUCUAAAACGGAUGCCAGUUUCUCCUUACUAAAAUAAUAUAUAUCACUUGUCUCUUACUGUUUUCACAAUAACUAAGACGCUUAGGGAACAUCGUAAUUUUACAAUAUCAUCCUUAUUUUCAAAAAUAAAAAAUAGAAAUCAGCAAGUUCACUAUAUUUUAAAAAAUAGAAAUCAGUAAAAAUUUUGUACAGUUAGUCAAUUAAAUCUUUUUAUUUUUUUUCUUAUGCUUCUUUGACUAUAUUUGAUCAUAAACUUAAUAUAAGUUUUAUUUUACUAUAUUAUUUUUAUUAUAUUAAAUGACCAAAUUGUCCUAAUAAACAUGAUAAUUGUAUCUAAUUAUUUAUGUAUUUAAUUUUAUGACUUAUAAUAUAAUUUUUUAAAUGAAGUCUGAUUAUUAUUUUCACUGCUCUUACACUUGGAUGAUAUAAAUUUUGAUAGUUCAGUAAUUUAUAUGAUUAUUGUGCCCUAAAACCCUUAUGUUAGUUUAAUUAAACUUUAGUAAUUAGAAGUAGUAUUAGAAACAAUGAGUUUGGUAUAAAAUUAGAAAAUUAUUAAAGUUAAAGUAAAUUUUUAGAAGUUUUACCUUAUAAGGGUAAAAUAGUCAAUCUAAACUUAUGGCAAAGUAAUCUUUAUAAUCAAUUAUAAUAAAAAAUAACUCACGAAAAAUUAAAUUAAGAUAAAUUUAAUUAAUUAAUUCCCAAAGUUCUUUAUUUUAAAAUUUUAAAAAUAAUGUAUAUUUUUGUAAUUAUUUUUUUAAAAAAUAAGAUGAAUUCAUAAAAACUAUGGGAGGAAAUCAUUACCCAAAACUUUAAUAGUUGAAUUGCAAAUGUUUCUACAUACAUAUAUUGCAAGAAUAAAUCUGUGUUUCUUUUCUUUUUAUGCAACAAGUUUGUUGCCAAAAUGUGAGGGGUACCUUCACAUGCCCAUCCUAUAAAAGGAAACUAAAUUAAAGAAAGCUACAAGAUAACAUUAGGUCCCAUGCAUUACAUGCCUUCUAGAAGCAAUUGAAUUUACGAUAUGUUUCCAAAUUAAUCAAAAUCAUAUGAGAUGGUCCUGCAAUUAUUACACAUUGCAAUUAUUACAUAUUGGGGCCGGUUUCUAGCCAAAAAUUAGGCAGCUUCUACGUGCUCAAUAAGGCAAGGCUCCCUUUUUCUUUUGUCAAAAGAUCUGCUAUUUUUUAAUAUUUCGAUCAAAAAGAUUGGCGGACGAUGGUAAUAAUUAUAUUAAUUAGUUAAUAAUAAUAAUAUAUGAAUUAAUUAUAAUAAUAAUUAUAAUAAUAAUAAUUAUAAUAAUAAUAUAUUAAUUAUUGUAAUUAUUUAUUUAAAAACUAUAAUUAUUAAUAAUUAUUGUUAUUAAUAUAUUAGUUAAUUAUAAUAAUAUGUUAUUAAUUAUAAUUGAAGAAAAAAUGGACAUUUUAAAUUUUGAGUAGGGUAAAAUGGUCAAUCUAGAGAAUAGGAGACUCAUUCUCAAGCCCCUCGGGAAUGAGUCUUCCAUUCCUCAUUUCUAAAUUGUGGUGGGCUCUAUGAUUCUGAUUCUAAUUCCUAAUUCUAUUUUGCGAAAUAGACGCUAUUAAUGAUUUUGAUUCUGUAAUUCGUUAAGUAAACGCAACAUUAAAUUAAUUGAGUAAAGAAAAGCUUUCUUGAACAUUAGUUUGAGACAUCACAUGCAAUUCUCUUAGUUCUGCCCUUGUUAUUUUUAUAUAUAGCAAAUGAUAUUUUUGCUUUAUUUUGAUUAUGGUUGCGUAAUCAAAUUCAAGUUUAUGAAUAUAAUAGCAAGAGGGGCUCAAGAAUGAUACAAUUAAUCUGAAAAAAAAUGAAAUUCUCUUUAGGUGAACUUACUUUUAUAUUUGUAAUUAAUGAUGAUCUUUAUAAAAUACAGAAAAACUAAUAUUAUAAUAAUAGUUUAAUAAUAGUCAUUGUCAUAACGUGAGAUAUUCAUUUAAAGUUCACGUCCAAAGAGGAUUAUGAUUGAAGUCUUUAAGAAUUAAAUUUAAAAAGAAUGGUUAUGUUAAAAAUUAAAUACUUAUAAGAGUGGAAUUAUUUGAAUUCACCAAUUAUAUUCUACAUUCUCUUUUAAUUAAAAAUUUUAUUAUAUAAAUAUUUUUAAAAAAAUUACUUAAUUAACUUUUUUUUUCUCUCUCUCUUCUCAAUUUCAUAAAUUUUCAUUAAUUCUUUUACCUACAAAUAAUUGAUAUCACUAGCUAAAUGGAAUGAAACCCAUCAUUUAAAAAUGAGCAUCAACAAAUUUUUAUCAAUUAUGAAAGUUAAUAAAUGUAGAAAUUAAUUUUUACAAAAAACAAAAGCUAAUAAAAAUCAAGAAAAGUUCUUAUAUGUAGAAAGUAUGAAAUAGAGAUCAUGAUCUAUUAAGAAAGAUUAAAAAAAUUCAAAAGAAAGUGAAAUAGAGUGUUUAAAUUUGUAGAAAAUGAGAAUAGAGACAGGGAAUUAAAAUUGUAAGGUAGGGGGAGAGAGAGAGGGGAAGAUUAGUGAUAGGUAAUUUUGAGAUUUUAAAUUUUAAAAUUUUUAAUAAUAAGUUUAUUUUUUAAAAUAGGUGUAGAGGAGA